RNAcentral lists this ribosomal RNA (542 nucleotides) under uncultured bacterium. RNAcentral describes it as "bacterial SSU rRNA". It matches the Rfam family "Bacterial small subunit ribosomal RNA", at positions 83 to 600 of the family's 1533-position model. The record is from RNAcentral.
GAAACUAGUAAAGUGGCGCACGGGUGAGUAACGCGUGGGUAAUCUACCUCCGAAUUGGGGAUAACAUUGCGAAAGCGAUGCUAAUACCGGAUAAUAUCUCAAUAACUCCGGUCUUUGAGAUCAAAGGUGGCCUCUCCAUGGAAGCUACUGUUUGGAGAUGAGCCCGCGUACCAUUAGCUUGUUGGUAGGGUAAUGGCCUACCAAGGCGACGAUGGUUAGCUGGUCUGAGAGGAUGAUCAGCCACACUGGAACUGUGGACACGGUCCAGACUCCUACGGGAGGCAGCAGUGAGGAAUUUUGCGCAAUGGGGGAAACCCUGACGCAGCAACGCCGCGUGAGUGAUGAAGGCUUUCGGGUCGUAAAGCUCUGUCAAGUGAGAAGAACCUGUCCUUUGCUAAUAUCACUGGACACUGACGGUAUCACUGAAGGAAGCACCGGCUAACUCCGUGCCAGCAGCCGCGGUAAUACGGAGGGUGCAAGCGUUAUUCGGAAUCACUGGGCGUAAAGAGCGCGUAGGCGGUUUCUAAAGUCAGAUGUGAAAG